AGAAGCUUAGGUUAAAUUAAACCAGGAGCCUUCAAAGCCCCAAAUAAGAGCUAAACCCCUUAGCUUCUG
RNAcentral lists this transfer RNA (69 nucleotides) under Ophiomorus punctatissimus. RNAcentral's name for it is "tRNA-Trp". It matches the Rfam family "tRNA". From Rfam's summary of the family: Transfer RNA (tRNA) molecules are approximately 80 nucleotides in length. The record is from RNAcentral. Lineage: Eukaryota; Metazoa; Chordata; Lepidosauria; Squamata; Scincidae.